This 526-nucleotide ribosomal RNA is filed under the name uncultured bacterium. Its description in RNAcentral is "bacterial SSU rRNA". It matches the Rfam family "Bacterial small subunit ribosomal RNA", at positions 984 to 1509 of the family's 1533-position model. The record is from RNAcentral.
ACAUCCAGCGAACUUGGCAGAGAUGCCUUGGUGCCUUCGGGAACGCUGAGACAGGUGCUGCAUGGCUGUCGUCAGCUCGUGUUGUGAAAUGUUGGGUUAAGUCCCGCAACGAGCGCAACCCUUAUCCUUUGUUGCCAGCGAUUCGGUCGGGAACUCAAAGGAGACUGCCGGUGAUAAACCGGGAGGAAGGUGGGGAUGACGUCAAGUCAUCAUGGCCCUUACGAGUAGGGCUACACACGUGCUACAAUGGCGCAUACAAAGAGAAGCGACCUCGCGAGAGCAAGCGGACCUCAUAAAGUGCGUCGUAGUCCGGAUCGGAGUCUGCAACUCGACUCCGUGAAGUCGGAAUCGCUAGUAAUCGUGGAUCAGAAUGCCACGGUGAAUACGUUCCCGGGCCUUGUACACACCGCCCGUCACACCAUGGGAGUGGGUUGCAAAAGAAGUAGGUAGCUUAACCUUCGGGAGGGCGCUUACCACUUUGUGAUUCAUGACUGGGGUGAAGUCGUAACAAGGUAGGCGUAGCGAG